AUACGGAGGAUGCGAGCGUUAUCCGGAUUUAUUGGGUUUAAAGGGUGCGUAGGCGGAACGUUAAGUCAGCGGUGAAACGCAGGUGCUCAACACCUGACCUGCAGUUGAUACUGGUGUUCUAGAGUGCGGAUGAGGUGGGAGGAAUUGGUGGUGUAGCGGGGGAAUGCAUAGAUAUCACACAGAACACAGAUUGCGAAGGCAUCUCACAAAUCCGCGAUUGACGCUGAGGCACGGAGGUGUGGGGAUCGAACUGGAUUAGAUACCCUGGUAGUCCGCACAGUAAACGAUGAUAACUCGCUGUCGGCGAUAGACAGUCGGUGGCCAAGCGAAAGCGAUAAGUCAUCCACCUGGGGAGUACGACCGCAAGGUUGAAACUCAAAGGAAUUGACGGGG
RNAcentral lists this ribosomal RNA (393 nucleotides) under uncultured bacterium. Its description in RNAcentral is "partial 16S ribosomal RNA". It matches the Rfam family "Bacterial small subunit ribosomal RNA", at positions 523 to 918 of the family's 1533-position model. The record is from RNAcentral.